UACGUAGGGUGCAAGCGUUAGUCGGAAUUACUGGGCGUAAAGCGUGCGCAGGCGGCUUUGCAAGACAGAUGUGAAAUCCCCGGGCUUAACCUGGGAACUGCAUUUGUGACUGCAUGGCUAGAGUGCGGCAGAGGGGGAUGGAAUUCCGCGUGUAGCAGUGAAAUGCGUAGAUAUGCGGAGGAACACCGAUGGCGAAGGCAAUCCCCUGGGCCUGCACUGACGCUCAUGCACGAAAGCGUGGGGAGCAAACAGG
This 253-nucleotide ribosomal RNA is filed under the name uncultured bacterium. Its description in RNAcentral is "partial 16S ribosomal RNA". It matches the Rfam family "Bacterial small subunit ribosomal RNA", at positions 524 to 776 of the family's 1533-position model. The record is from RNAcentral.